This 508-nucleotide ribosomal RNA is filed under the name uncultured bacterium. RNAcentral describes it as "partial 16S ribosomal RNA". It matches the Rfam family "Bacterial small subunit ribosomal RNA", at positions 30 to 523 of the family's 1533-position model. The record is from RNAcentral.
AUUGAACGCUGGCGGCAUUCUUAACACAUGCAAGUCGAACGGCAGCAUGAGUAGGGGUAACCUUACUUGAUGGCGAGUGGCGGACGGGUGAGUAAUAUGUAGGAAUCUACCUAGAGGAGGGGGAUAACUUGGGGAAACUCAAGCUAAUACCACAUAAGCCCUACGGGGGAAAGCAGGGGAUCGAAAGACCUUGUGCCGUAUGAUGAGCCUACAUCGGAUUAACUAGUUGGUGGGGUAAAGGCCUACCAAGGCGACGAUCCGUAGCUGGUAUGGGAGGAGGAUCAGCAACACUGGGACGGAGGGACGGCCCAGACUCCUACGCGAGGCAGCAGUGGGGAAUAUUGGGCAAUGGGCGAAAGCCUGAUCGAGCAAUGCCGCGUGUGUGAAGAAGGCCUUAGGGUUGUAAAGCACUUUCAGUGGGGAGGAAGGGUGGAAUGCUAAUACCAUUGCACAUUGACGUUACCUACAGAAGAAGCACCGGCUAACUCUGUGCCAGCCGCCGCAGUAA